UUUUAGUAGUUUCUAUUUAUAUAAUAUUUAUUUAUACUUAAUAAGACAAUUUGUAGACAUGAAUUUCUAAUGUUUAGUCACAUUUUAAUACAUAUAUUACAAUUAAACAGUAAAUAAUGAUUGUUAGAAUAUUUUUAUAUAUCUAAUAAAUAAAUAAAUACACGCUCUCAUAGGCGCUCUUAAUCUAAGAAACUUCUGUAUGCCCUUGCUCCUCCGCCCCCGCUUCCACUCCUAUCCCCACCCUUGCUUCGAGCAACCAAGGUUUGUGUUCUCUCAUCUUAGGCCAUAGCAGAUUGUUGGGGUGAAAAUUAAAAAAUGAAAUGUGAUUAUUAUGGUUCAUGUGUCGGAGUGCACGAGAGAAGAGACGGAUGUAGAGUCUCCAUCCAACAACAUAUCAGAAUGAUGAGACGAGAGAGAGAGAGAGAGAAGUGAUAAGGCUGAGUGAAGAGAAUUACGCGACGUGUAAACUCAAUGUUCCAUUAAUAUUUUUCAGUUGGUUCGGGUGCUAUGGUUUGUUGAAGUACAAAUCCGAGACUCGUCCGAGAAAUCGAGAGUUUUACUCGCAGAAAACUGAAGCCAACCGAAACCAUGUUCGAAACUGACCAUUUCUUGAUUGAGCGGGUUGAGUUUGGUGGUUUCAACGGGUGGAUCGGAUUUUUGAACAACCCUAAUUGCUAUCAUUCAAGUUCAAGGUCAAACUUUGUCUCAACCUGUGGGAUUGUUGCAGAAAAAAGGAGAAAAGAUAGUGUUCUAUUUGUACACAUUGAGGUGUCGAAUAUAAAACUUAUGGCUUUUAUGUGGGAAGCCAAGUCGGUGUAGCUUGUGCUAAAUCCUCUUUGGUGCUGAAUAAUCAUUUAUUUUGUUGGAAGCAUUGGACCUUUUUAUACGCCAGGAGGAUUACCCCAAUUAGUAGUGUUCUGUUUGGCAGUUCUAUUGGCUUAGAAUCUCUUUUUCGGUACUUCUUGUGGGUUGCUAAUAGGCUUGAGAAUAUGUGAAAGGAAUAUUUUUCUGAGGGAAGAAUGAUUAGUUCAGUUAUUAUUUGGUGAGAACAUGUUUGUUAUUGUACUAUUUUGGAGUUUUGGUUUGAGUUUGGGAGCUUGCCUUUUUAAUGUAUAAAGCUUUGUUAGGCCUAUGCUUAUGGAGUUUCAAAAUGAUAGUGGGGACUAUAUUGAGAUGCUGGCCAACAGCUGUUCAACAAGAGAGGCUAGCAGUUCUCAUGGAUGAAGACUAUUAAGAGGUGCUUUUAAUGUUAAUAUUGACUUCAACAAUGAUGUUAGAUCUGUUAGUUCAGUAUGAUGUUUCCUUUUACUUCUUUUUCUUCUUGCUCUGUUGAGAGGUCUUUGCAGGGAUCCGUUAUUUUGGCUAACAGUCAAACUCUUUCUUCUAUCAGGGUUGGUUGUGAUUUCUUUGUGUAUCUUCUACAUUUCUGUAAUGAGUGGCGAUAACGCCAUGAGACCUUUUUCUAGUGCCAUGAACAUUAUUACCAUAUGACCUCUCCCUCUAUGUCUCUCCUCUUUGCAACUUUUUUUUUCUCUAUCCUGAGCUCAACCAUCAUUCACUUUUUUCCCACUCCGCUUCUCUCUCCGUUGUCAUUUGUCCCUCUCACCCACCCUUUUCUCUCUCCAUUACAUUUCUUCUCUCUGCUUUCCCCUCUCUUCCUUUUUGAUUCUCUCUCUAAAAGCUCCACUCUAUGGUUUUUGCUUUUUUCAUCUUUUUCUUACUGUUUCAUUUGUUUGAUCUGACAACUGAUCAAUGCGGUCUCAUAUCUUUCUUUCUUUCAUUCUUCUUUUUUUUUUUUUUUUUUUUUUUUUUUUUUCAGCUGUCUUAUAGGGGCUUCUUGAUUUUCUGGAACUGUUCAUGCUCUAGUGGUUUAUAUUGUGUUUUCUUUCUCGCUUUUCUCUUUUAUUUUUCCCCCCUUGGAAAUCGAUUAUUGGUUUUAGUUAAAAGAGUUUACUUUACGGGUUGUGUGAUCAAUGAAUCGCUGAUUCCUGGUGGAUAUCAAUGUAUAGACAUGUCAUCUUCACCCUCUAACCAUGUGGUGAUGCUGAAGAUUGGGGUUGAUGUGUUCAGAUAAUGUCCUGGUGAAGAAACCCAGUAUGAGGCAGGUAUCUGGACGGGGGGUGAGGUUGUCGGAGAUGUUGGCACUGCUGGAUGAGUACAAUGGACGGGAAGAAUGGCGAUGCUGGGGUUGAGUUUGAGUUUUUCGUGCAUUCUCCUAUCCCUUACAUCGUCAUACUUUGUAAAGAAGUAGAGAGGAGAAAAGAGAACGAGGGAUUGUUGUGGUGGUUGGCGCCGGAGAUGGUGGUUGUGGUUGGCUGGAGGUGUUGAGGUUGGUGUUUGCAGGUAGUUGGGCUGUGUGCUUGCUGAUGUUGCAGAAUGCAGAAUGAGAGGGAAAGAGGAAGAGAGGGAAAGCAGAUAGGAGAAAUGAUGUGGGAAAAAUAUGAUAAAUGGUGGUUGAGCUUAGUGAUAAAAUGUUGUAAAGGGGAGAGAGGAGGGAAAAAAUGUCAGCUGGCAAUAAUGUUUGUGGCGCCAUAAUAAAAAUGUACCGUGGCAUUAUCCCCACCCUUCCAUAAUGCUAAAAUUAAGCCUUUCCUUUAAAUUUCGAUGUUGUAGUCAAGAAGUGACACUGGAAUAAAUCUACACUUUUCCCCCGGUAAUUGUUGGGUGUUUUGUUCUCUCUUUCUGUUACCUUUUAGAAUGAUAUGAUAAAAUGGAGAAAGAGCAGGAGUGGAACAAGGUUGUUUCAUUGAAUAAUGCUGCCAUGAAUUCAUGUCGUUCCUGAGAAGACAGAGCAUUUUAUGGAUAAAAAAGAACCCGGAAAGGAGGCUUCUGAGAACGUGAUUCGAGAGUCACUAAUUGCUAUCUCUUACCAUCUACCGGAGAAGGAUCUUGCUUCGGAAGUCUCGCCUGAAAAUUUGCAUCGCAAGGAUGUUGAAGGAAUAAAUGCCGGAGUGGAGGAGAAGUAUAGGUCUAAACUGAUGUCAAUAUUCGAUUCACCGUCACCGGACACUAAAUCUGUACCAGUUGCCAAGGGAGAUAAUAUCAAGGAUUAGCCUCGACUCCAGGUGAUUUAGAGCAACUAUAUACAAAUUUUUUCUUCUUAUGGUCUGAUGUGAUUUAGAGCUUGAAGAAGUGCUGUGCAUAGACUUAUAUGGGUCUAUAUGUGGAUGAAACUCUAUAUAUAUGGUCCAUUACAAAUUGCACUCAUAUACAUUGGCUGCAAGUUUCUGAACAUGUUGAAAAUGGUUUGUCUUCCUGUUUUGUCAUGCUGCUGCUUGAUUACAUUUUCUUCACAGUUGAGAUAUGAUCAUACUUUGUUUCCUUUUUUGGAUACAAAUGGUCUGGUAGUAAUGAAAAUAAAGGAAGAUGAUAUCAUAUCGUCUUGCUUGCAUCUUUGGAUA
Non-coding RNA from Camellia sinensis, 3401 nucleotides. Lineage: Eukaryota; Viridiplantae; Streptophyta; Magnoliopsida; Ericales; Theaceae. The record is from RefSeq and is a predicted model, not a curated record.